GACGAACGCUGGCGGCGUGCCUAAUACAUGCAAGUAGAACGCUGAAGAGAGGAGCUUGCUCUUCUUGGAUGAGUUGCGAACGGGUGAGUAACGCGUAGGUAACCUGCCUUGUAGCGGGGGAUAACUAUUGGAAACGAUAGCUAAUACCGCAUAACAAUGGAUGACACAUGUCAUUUAUUUGAAAGGGGCAAUUGCUCCACUACAAGAUGGACCUGCGUUGUAUUAGCUAGUAGGUGAGGUAAUGGCUCACCUAGGCGACGAUACAUAGCCGACCUGAGAGGGUGAUCGGCCACACUGGGACUGAGACACGGCCCAGACUCCUACGGGAGGCAGCAGUAGGGAAUCUUCGGCAAUGGGGGCAACCCUGACCGAGGCACGCCGCGUGAGUGAAGAAGGUUUUCGGAUCGGAAAGCUCUGUUGUAAGUCAAGAACGGGUGUGAGAGUGGAAAGUUCACACUGUGACGGUAGCUUACCAGAAAGGGACGGCUAACUACGUG
RNAcentral lists this ribosomal RNA (497 nucleotides) under uncultured bacterium. RNAcentral describes it as "partial 16S ribosomal RNA". It matches the Rfam family "Bacterial small subunit ribosomal RNA", at positions 28 to 507 of the family's 1533-position model. The record is from RNAcentral.